RNAcentral lists this long non-coding RNA (7439 nucleotides) under Brassica rapa (field mustard). Its description in RNAcentral is "long non-coding RNA (BRAP_LNC005463)". The record is from RNAcentral. Lineage: Eukaryota; Viridiplantae; Streptophyta; Magnoliopsida; Brassicales; Brassicaceae.
UCACAUGAAUAUAUUAAAAAUUAAUUUUUAAUUUGUAUGCAAAUAAAAAUAGUUUUAUUAAAACCACAUAUCAUUAUGUUAAAUAAUAAUUAAGCCGGUGAUACCGCUUUUGAAACAGACACACAAUAAGCCCAUACUUCAUCUCUUUUCUGUAAAUAUUUGGAUUCGUUUCCGAUUAAACUAGGUCUAUCCGCGAUAUAUUUGAUAAGUGUGUCAUGACACUCUUUGCCUUCUUGAACAAGCUCCUUGCAACAAGGAAUGGAUACAACUCCAUCUCCAAAAACUUGAGAAAUGAUCUUGAGCGCACAGUUUGGACUGAUUUUAACAACACAUUGAUCCCAUAACUUUUUUGGCUCAUUUUCUUCUACAGCUAAUGAAGGUACACAUGUAAUCGCCACAACUAGAACUACCAAAGACAACAUAAUAAAGUUAAGCUUCGCCAUGGUUGUUAUGUGUUUGAGGAUUUACAGUUUAACUUUUCUCAAGUUAGAGAAAUAAAUAAGUUUUUAAAUUUCUGAUGUUAUUUGAAUAAACGAGGUUUGCCUUAUUUAUAGAUACGAAUAAUCAAUAUUUAACAUUUAUUUUCGACUAAUGAAUUUUGCUUUUGACGUUUUUUUGUUCAUUAACAUGUGUUAAGUUACGUUUUUUGCUGAAGUUAUUAACUGCUUAGGUUUAUAGUUUAUAAAUAAUUAAAUUAGGAUUCUUGUAGUAUACAAAUGAACAUUCUAAGAACUUAUAUAAGUAUUUAAAUUAAAAACUACAGAACAUUUUUUAAUGAAUAUUUUUUAUGUCAGCAACAUAUAAUUUGGUGGUUGUAUAUCAACUUACUAACAAAAACCAAAAGUACACUCUAACAUUUUAUCAAUCUAAAAAUGCUUUAAAGUAUAUAUCAAUAUAUUUCUCUCUGAGAUUAAAGGAGAGAGUUUCAGAUUUUAUAUAUUCUUUAUUUCAUGAUGUAGGAUGCUUAAGAAUAUAAUUUUAUCCUUUUAAUUGUAUAAAGUUUUAUAUCGAGAUGGUUAUUAGGUAAAGCAUGACUCCACUUGGGAAAAUAAUCUACAAAUUUAAAUUCCCUCUACAAGAAACAAAAUAUGAAAUCUAUAAAGAAUGAAAUUUGAUAAAAAAGAAAUAAAAAAUGUGUGUUCAAAAAAAAAAAAAAAUGAAAACAAAUUUUUGAAUUUAAGCUUGCGAUAUCAGGUUUUAUCAAUUUAUAACUUACAUAAUAGUUUAAUUACUAUAUAUUUUUCAAGGAAAUUGAUGUCGUUCAUAUUAAAAAUAUAAAUAGUAUAUAUAUACUUACAUAAAAUUAAUGAAAUGUUUGUAUUUAGUAAAUUUUUCUUAAUCAUUCUAAAGAUUUUAUUUUCUAUCAAUUUCAUCAAAAUAUAUGUAAUAACUCCAAAAUUUAAAUCUGAAAACAUAUGUGAUGGUUCAAAGAAAAUGGUAUAUAGAUUGUGCGACCACGUAGAAUAUAAUAAGUAUGUUGCGGUCUUGUGGAUUCGGGAAAUGCUAGAUUUUAAGAUUACAAAUCAGUGUUUAUUUUGAUAUUUCGUCUUUUGAAUUCAUAAAAAAGUGAGUAUUUAAAGAUUUUUAAGUAUUAAUUUUUUUUAUCUGGGACUAGAACUUUUUAUUUUGCAUCUAAAACUCAGAAAAGGGAAUAAAGUAAUGCAAAAGAAAAUAAGUAACCCAAAACAAUAAAUAUAAAUCUCGCAUGAAUAUAUCAAAAAUUAAUUUUUAAUUUGUAUGCAAAUACAAAUAGUUUUAUUGAAAUCACUAUCAUUAUGUUAUAUAAUAAUUAAGCCGGUGAUACCGCUUUUGAAACAGACACACAAUAAGCCCAUACUUCAUCUCUUUUCGUUAAAUAUUUGGAUUCGUUUCCGAUUAAACUAGGUCUAUCCGCGAUAUAUUUAACAAGUGUGUCAUGACACUCUUUGCCUUCUUGAACAAGCUCCUUGCAACAAGGAAUGGAUACAACUCCAUCUCCAAAAACUUGAGAAAUGAUCUUGAGCGCACAGUUUGGACUGAUUUUAACAACACAUUGAUCCCAUAACGUUUUUGGCUCAUUUUCUUCUACAGCUAAUGAAGGCACACAUGUAAUCGCCACAACUAGAACAACAAAAGACAACAUAAUAAAAUUAAGCUUCACCAUGGUUGUUAUGUGUUUGAGGAUUUACAGUUUAACUUUUCUCAAGUUAGAGAAAGAAAUAAGUUUUUAAAUUUCUGAUGUUAUUUGAAUAAACGAGGUUUGCCCUAUUUAUAGAUACGAAUAAUCAAUAUUUAACAUAUUUUUUCAACUAAUGAAUUUUGCUUUUGACGUUUUUUUGUUCAUUAACAUGUGUUAAGUUACGUUUUUUGCUGAAGUUAUUAACUGCUUAGGUUUAUAGUUUAUAAAUAAUUAAAUUAGGAUUCUUGUAGUAUAAAAAUGAACAUACUAAGAACUUAUAUAAGUAUUUAAAUUAAAAACUACUGAACAUUUUUUAAUGAAUAUUUUUUAUGUCAGCAACAUAUAAUUUGGUGGUUGUAUAUCAACUUACUAACAAAAACCAAAAGUACACUCUAACAUUUUAUCAAUCUAAAAAUGAUUUAAAGUAUAUAUCAAUAUAUUUCUCUGAGAUUAAAGGAGAGAGUUCCAGAUUUUAUAUAUUCUUUAUUUCAUGAUGUAGGAUGCUUAAGAAUAUAAUUUUAUCCUUUUAAUUGUAUAAAGUUUUAUAUUGAGAUGGUUAUUAGGUAAAACAUGACUCCACUUGGGAAAGUAAUCUACAAAUUUAAAUUCCCUCUACAAGAAACAAAACAUGAAAUCUAUAAAGAAUGAAAUUUAAUAAAAAAGAAAUAAAAAAUGAAACCAAAUUUUUGAAUUUAAACUUGCGGUAUCAUAAUUUAUCAAUUUCUAACUUACAUAAUAGUUUAAUUACUAUAUAUCUUUCAAGGAAAUUAAUGUGUUUCAUAAUAAAAAUAUAAACAGUAUAUAUAUAUACUUACAUAAAACUAACGAAAUGUUAUUUUUAUUCUUGAAUGAAUUUUUUUAAUUGAGUUGAGUCCUUUUAAAAAUGUUUCAUGCCACAGUUUUGAGGUGCGACUCCGUUUGUAUUAGAUUAAUUUUUUUUAAUCAUUCUAAAGAUUUUAUUUUCUAUCAAUUUCAUCAAAAUAUAUGUAAUAACUCCAAAAUUUAAACCUGAAAACAUAUGUGAUGGUUCAAAGAAAAUGGUAUAUAGAUUGUGCGACCACGUGCAAUAUAAUAAGUAUGCUGCGGUCUUGUGGAUUCAAGAAAUGCUAUAUUUUUAAGAUUGCAAAUCAGUGUUUAUUUUGAUAUUUCGUCUUUUUAAUUCAUAAAAACUGUGAGUAUUAAUUUUUUUUUAAGUAUUAAUAUCUUUAAUCUGGGACUAGACCUUUUUAUUUUGCAUCUAAAACUCAGAAAAGGGAAUAUAUAAAGUAAUACAAAAGAAAAUAAGUAACACAAAACGAUAAAUAUAAAUCUCACAUAAAUAAAUUAAAAAAUAUUUUUUAUUUUGUAUGCAAAUACAAAUAGUUUUAUUAAAAUCACAUAUCAUUAUGUUAAAUAAUAAUUAAGCCGGUGAUACCGCUUUUGAAACAAACACACAAUAAGCCCAUACUUCAUCUCUUUUCUUUAAAUAUUUGGAUUCGUUUCCGAUUAAACUAGGUCUAUCCGCGAUAUAUUUGACAAGUGUGUCAUGACACUCUUUGCCUUCUUGAACAAGCUCCUUGCAACAAGGAAUGGAUACAACUCCAUCUCCAAAAAUUUGAGAAAUGAUCUUGAGCGCACAGUUUGGACUGAUUUUAACAACACAUUGAUCCCAUAACUUUUUUGGCUCAUUUUCUUCUACAGCUAAUGAAGGCACACAUGUAAGCGCCACAAUUAGAACAACAAAAGACAACAUAAUAAAAUUAAGCUUCACCAUGGUUGUUAUGUGUUUGAGGAUUUCCAGUUUAACUUUUCUCAAGUUAGAGAAAGAAAUAAGUUUUUAAAUUUCUGAUGUUAUUUGAAUAAACGAAGUUUGCCCUAUUUAUAGAUACGAAUAAUCAAUAUUUAACAUUUAUUUUCGAGUAAUGAAUUUUGCUUUUGAUGUUUUUUUGUUCAUUAACAUGUGUUAAGUUACGUUUUAUGCUGAAGUUAUAAACUGCUUAGGUUUAUAGUUUAUAAAUAAUUAAAUUAGGAUUCUUGUAGUAUAAAAAUGAACAUACUAAGAACUUAUAUAAGUAUUUAAUUUAAAAACUACUGAACAUUAUUUAAUGAAUAUUUUUUAUGUCAGCAACAUAUAAUUUGGUGGUUGUAUAUCAACUUACUAACAAAACCCAAAAGUACACUCUAACAUUUAAUCAAUCUAUAAAUGAUUUAAAGUAUAUAUCAAUAUAUUUCUCUCUGAGAUUAAAAGAGAGAGUUUCAGAUUUUAUAUAUUCUUUAUUUCAUGAUGUAGGAUGCUAAAGAAUAUAUUUUUAUCCUUUUAAUUGUAUAAAGUUGUAUAUCGAGAUGGUUAUUAGGUAAAACAUGACUCCACUUGGGAAAAUAAUCUACAAAUUUAAAUUCCCUCUACAAGAAACAAAAUAUGAAAUCUAUAAAGAAUGAAAUUUGAUAAAAAAGAAAUAGAAAAUGUGUGUUAAAAAAAAUAAAAAUGAAAACAAAUUUUCGAAUUUAAGCUUGCGAUAUCAGGUUUUAUCAAUUUAUAACUUACAUAAUAGUUUAAUUACAAUAUAUUUUUCAAGGAAAUUGAUGUCGUUCAUAUUAAAAAUAAUAUAAAUAGUAUAUAUAUACUUACAUAAAAUUAACAAAAUGUUUGUAUUUGGUUAAUUUUUCUUAAUCAUUCUAAAGAUUUUAUUUUCUAUCAAUUUCAUCAAAAUAUAUGUAAUAACUCCAAAAUUUAAAUCUGAAAACAUAUGUGAUGGUUCAAAGAAAAUGGUAUAUAGAUUGUGCGACCACGUAGAAUAUAAUAAGUAUGUUGCGGUCUUGUGGAUUCGGGAAAUGAUAGAUUUUAAGAUUACAAAUCAGUGUUUAUUUUGAUAUUUUGUCUUUUGAAUUCAUAAAAAAAGUGAGUAUUUAAAGAUUUUUAAGUAUUAAUUAUUUUAAUCUGGGACUAGACCUUUUUAUUUUGCAUCUAAAACUCAGAAAAGGGAAUAAAGUAAUGCAAAAGAAAAUAAGUAACACAAAACAAUAAAUAUAAAUCUCACAUGAAUAUAUCAAAAAUUAAUUUUUAAUUUGUAUGCAAAUACAAAUAGUUUUAUUGAAAUCACAUAUCAUUAUGUUAAAUAAUAAUUAAGCCGGUGAUACCGCUUUUGAAACAGACACACAAUAAGCCCAUACUUCAUCUCUUUUCUUUAAAUAUUUGGAUUCGUUUCCGAUUAAACUAGGUCUAUCCGCGAUAUAUUUAACAAGUGUGUCAUGACACUCUUUGCCUUCUUGAACAAGCUCCUUGCAACAAGGAAUUGAUACAACUCCAUCUCCAAAAACUUGAGAAAUGAUCUUGAGCGCACAGUUUGGACUGAUUUUAACAACACAUUGAUCCCAUAACUUUUUUAGCUCAUUUUCUUCUACACCAAAUGAAGGCACACAUAUAAUCGCCACAACUAGAACAACAAAAGACAACAUAAUAAAAUUAAGCUUCGCCAUGGUUGUUAUGUGUUUGAGGAUUUACAGUUUAACUUUUCUCAAGUUAGAGAAAUAAAUAAGUUUUUAAAUUUCUGAUGUUAUUUGAAUAAACGAGGGUUACCCUAUUUAUAGAUACGAAUAAUCAAUAUUUAACAUUUAUUUUCGAUUAAUGAAUUUUGUUUUUGACGUUUUUUGUUCAUUAACAUGUGUUAAGUUACGUUUUUUGCUUAAGUUAUUAACUGCUUAGGUUUAUAGUUUAUAAAUAAUUAAAUUAGGAUUCUUGUAUUAUACAAAUGAACAUACUAAGAACUUAUAUAAGUAUUUAAAUUAUAAACUACAGAACAUUUUUAAUGAAUAUUGUUUUUAUGUCAGCAACCUAUAAUUUGGUGGUUGUAUAUCAACUUACUAACAAAAACCAAAAGUACACUCAACAUUUGAUUAAUCUAAAAAUGAUUUAAAGUAUAUAUCAAUAUAUCUCUCUCUGAGAUUAAAGGAGAUAGUUCCAGAUUUUAUAUAUUCUUUAUUUGGUGAUGUAGGAUGCUUAAGAAUAUAAUUUUAUCCUUUUAAUUCAUUAAUUGUAUAAAGUUUUAUAUCGAGAUGGUUAUUAGGUAAAACAUGACUCCACUUGGGAAAGUAAUCUACAAAUUUAAAUUCCCUCUACAAGAAACAAAACAUGAAAUCUAUAAAGAAUGAAAUUUAAUAAAAAAGAAAUAAAAAAUGAAACCAAAUUUUCGAAUUUAAACUUGCGAUAUCAUAAUUUAUCAAUUUCUAACUUACAUAAUAGUUUAAUUACUAUAUAUCUUUCAAGGAAAUUAAUGUGUUUCAUAUUAAAAAUAUAAAUAGUAUAUAUAUAUACUUACAUAAAAUUAACGAAAUGUUAUUUUUAUUCUUGAAUGAAUUUUUUUAAUUGAGUUGAGUCCUUUUAAAAAUGUUUCAUGCCACAGUUUUGAGGUGUGACUCCGUUUGUAUUUGGUUAUUUUUUUUAAUCAUUCUAAAGAUUUUAUUUUCUAUCAAUUUCAUCAAAAUAUAUGUAAUAACUCCAAAAUUUAAACCUGAAAACAUAUGUGAUGGUUCAAAGAAAAUGGUAUAUAGUUUGUGCGACCACGUGCAAUGUAAUAAGUAUGCUGCGGUUUUGUGGAUUCAAGAAAUGCUAUAUUUUUAAGAUUACAAAUCAGUGUUUAUUUUGAUAUUUCGUCUUUUUAAUUCAUAAAAACUGUGAGUAUUAAUUUUUUUUUUAAGUGUUAAUAUCUUUAAUCUGGGACUAGACCUUUUUAUUUUGCAUCUAAAACUCAGAAAAGGGAAUAUAUAAAGUAAUACAAAAGAAAAUAAGUAACACAAAACGAUAAAUAUAAAUCUCACAUAAAUAUAUUAAAAAUUAUUUUUUAUUUUGUAUGCAAAUACAAAUAGUUUUAUUAAAAUCACAUAUCAUUAUGUUAAAUAAUAAUUAAGCCGGUGAUACCGCUUUUGAAACAGAUACACAAUAAACCCAUACUGCAUCUCUUUUCUUUAAAUAUUUGGAUUCGUUUCCGAUUAAACUAGGUCUAUCCGCGAUAUAUUUGACAAGUGUGUCAUGACACUCUUUGCCUUCUUGAACAAGCUCCUUGCAACAAGGAAUGGAUACAACUCCAUCUCCAAAAACUUGAGAAAUGAUCUUGAGCGCACAGUUUGGACUGAUUUUAACAACACAUUGAUCCCAUAACUUUUUUGGCUCAUUUUCUUCUACAGCUAAUGAAGGUACACAUGUAAUCGCCACAACUAGAACAACAAAAGACAACAUAAUAAAGUUAAUCUUUGCCAUGGUUGUUAUGUGUUUGAAGAUUUACAGUUUAACUUUUUUUCAAGUUAG